CUGCAGGUAUCUUUUGAACUGUCAGCUGUGGCAACCCCCUUCCUAGUCAUGAAAAAAACAUGUUCCUGUUUAUGACAAAGCUGUCACCAUUCCAUUAGCAUCUGAUUAUUAUUCAAGUUGAUAGCAUUC
Molecule: small nucleolar RNA, 129 nt
Organism: Arvicola amphibius (Eurasian water vole)
Lineage: Eukaryota; Metazoa; Chordata; Mammalia; Rodentia; Cricetidae
Product: small nucleolar RNA SNORA24
Exons: 1
Source: RefSeq, a predicted model, not a curated record